CCUACGGGAGGCAGCAGUGAGGAAUAUUGGUCAAUGGACGAGAGUCUGAAUCAGCCAAGUAGCGUGAAGGAUGACUGCCCUAUGGGUUGUAAACUUCUUUUAUCAAGGAAUAAAACGAGCCACGUGUGCCUUUUUGCAUGUACUUUAUGAAUAAGGAUCGGCUAACUCCGUGCCAGCAGCCGCGGUAAUACGGAGGAUCCGAGCGUUAUCCGGAUUUUGUGGGUUUAAAGGGAGCGUAGAUGGGUUGUUAAGUCAGUUGUGAAAGUUUGCGGCUCAACCGUAAAAUUGCAGUUGAUACUGGCAGUCUUGAGUACAGUUGAGGUAAGCGGAAUGCGUGGUGUAGCGGUGAAAUGCUUAGAUAUCACGAAGAACCCCGAUUGCGAAGGCAGUUCACUGGACUGCAACUGACACUGAGGCUCGAAAGUGUGGGUAUCAAACAGGAUUAGAUACCCCGGUAGUC
Molecule: ribosomal RNA, 460 nt
Filed under: uncultured bacterium
Lineage: Bacteria
Description: partial 16S ribosomal RNA
Rfam family: Bacterial small subunit ribosomal RNA
Source: RNAcentral